Molecule: long non-coding RNA, 373 nt
Organism: Mus caroli (Ryukyu mouse)
Lineage: Eukaryota; Metazoa; Chordata; Mammalia; Rodentia; Muridae
Source: RefSeq, a predicted model, not a curated record
AGUUGACAGAACUUCCGUUCAUCAUCGUCAGCUGGCUAUGGUUUCCAUAUGCAAGCUCAUUCCACUCUAUUGGCUCUCAUGGAGUAGUUACUGCUGAUCUGAUUUUGUGAAUGACAAAACUGAGCCUCAGAACGGUAAUUUAGAGUCCAAAUAACAGCAUCCUCACACCUGGUGGGCUAUGCAGCUAUGCAUGCUGGGAAUGGUAAGGACUGCGAGGAACAGGGGAAGUCCAUUGCAAGCCAUCAUCACUUCUAAAUGAAGACACAAGCUCUGCUGAUGGUGGGAACUGGCCAGAGGCAACAGCAUCAAAGCCACAGGGCAUCUCACAUGCAAAGGAGCACUCGGUCAGAGCCCGAUGUAGGGCAUUUUGAUG